RNAcentral lists this ribosomal RNA (250 nucleotides) under uncultured bacterium. RNAcentral describes it as "partial 16S ribosomal RNA". It matches the Rfam family "Bacterial small subunit ribosomal RNA", at positions 355 to 596 of the family's 1533-position model. The record is from RNAcentral.
UCGAGAAUCAUUCGCAAUGGGCGCAAGCCUGACGAUGCGACGCCGCGUGCAGGAUGAAGGCCUUCGGGUUGUAAACUGCUGUGAUGGGGGAACAACGGGCGUGCCGUGAAUAGCGGCAUGCAUUGAUAGUACCCCAAGAGGAAGCCACGGCUAACUCUGUGCCAGCAGCCGCGGUAAUACAGAGGUGGCAAGCGUUGUUCGGAUUUACUGGGCGUAAAGGGUGCGUAGGCGGCCGCGCAUGUCGGGUGUG